AUGGCGGCGGCGGUGAGGGUGGAGAAGGCGACGAGCGACCUGCUGCUGGGGCCCGACUGGACCCUCAACAUCGACAUCUGCGACGGCGUCAACUCCGAUCACGGGCAAGCAAAGGAGGUGAUUAAAACUCUGAAGAAGCGUCUUCAACACAAGAAUUCAUCAGUUCAGUCUCUUGCAUUGACGCUGUUGGAGACUCUGGUGAAAAAUUGUGGGGAUCAUGUGCAUUUUCUGGUUGUAGAGCGCGGUAUAUUGCAAGAAAUGGUCAAACUUGCCAAGAAAAAGGCAAAUGUGCAAGUGAGGGACAAAAUUUUGACACUCCUUGAUUCUUGGCAAGAAGCAUUUGGUGGGCCUGGUGGGAAGCACCCUCAGUUCUACUGGGCAUAUUCUGAACUUAAGCAAUCUGGUUUAGAAUUUCCUAGGCGCUCACCUGAGGCAGCAACAAUAUUCGCCCCUCACCUUCAACCAGGGAUCGGGAGUCCAGCCAAUUCAUCCUUGAGAGCUGAUGGGAUGAUUUCAUCAAGUGGCUCUCCUCUGAGUUUGUCAGAUUUGCAACGAAUUUUAAGUGCCGCGGAGCUACUAAGUGAGAUGCUGAGAGAAGUGGAUCCAAAUGAUCAUGAGGCUGUGAAUGAUGAAAUUAUCGCGGAACUUGUGAACCAAUGCCGGUCAUACCAGAAAAAGAUCAUGAGUUUGGUUAGUUCAGUGAGUGAUGAGGACCUCUUGAGCCAAAGUCUCGACUUAAACGACAGAUUGCAAAUUCUGCUUUCCAAACACGAUGCAAUUGCAUCAGGUUCCCCUCUACCGGGUGAAGAAACGGAUGUGUUGAGUGAGUUGCCCAGAGGGAUCACUACAACCCCUGCAGCAACAGUUGUUCCCGAAACUGCCAUUGUACCAACUUUUGUCUUGGAUGAUGAAGAGGAAGAGGAGGAAGAUGAUGAGUUCUCUCAGCUGGCUCGCAGGCCGAAUUCGAGAUUCAGGUCAGCAAAUGAGAAGAGCGCCUCUUCAGGUGUAGGCGCAUCAUCGUCGUCCACGCAGGAUGGAACAGCAAGCUCAGCAGCUUCUGUGACCACUACAUCAUCACCAUCUACUUCAAGCAGUGCAUUAGCAUUGCCUGAUCAUCUAGCUCCUAUAAGGACUUCUCCAGAAGACAAGAUUAUGAGCGACCUCCUUGCGCUCACCAUAGUGUCAAGCCCAUCACCUGAACCUGCCUUGCAUCCUGGUGGUUCCCCAACCAGUUAUCAUCCACAGCCUCAUUAUGCAGACCCACAACACACAGCUGCAGCGCACAACAGCUACGUCGCUCCUUGGGCUCAGCAUCAACCUCAAACUGCACCCAUUAAGCAGCAGCAGCAGCAGCACCAACCACCACCUCAACCACAAUUUUCUUACAACCCAUCUCCUUACCCGCCACCACCAUGGGCCCCUCAGGACAACACCGAGUCAAACCCUUUCGUGGCAUCUUCAUCGCAGCGACUUUCUACUUCUAACUCGCCUCUUAAAGUACCGCCGAACAUGAGGCCCCUACAGCAAUCGCAAUCUUUUGGCGUACCGCUUCGAAGUGCCGCGUCAGAUUCACCGACAAACAAGAGCCUGAAGCAACCCAUGUCUGCAGGGUCUCGCCGACCGUCUUAUGUUCCUUCUAACAAGUUCUUUGAUGAUCUGCUUGAGAGAAAUGCGGAUGGUACUCUGAAAACGAGCAGUGGGGUAAUUGGAGGCACAUCCAGUCCAUACAAACCGUAG
Molecule: ribosomal RNA, 1737 nt
Filed under: Triticum aestivum (bread wheat)
Lineage: Eukaryota; Viridiplantae; Streptophyta; Magnoliopsida; Poales; Poaceae
Description: partial small subunit ribosomal RNA
Source: RNAcentral